GUCUAGGGCGAUACCACCCUGAAUGAGCCCGAUCUCCUCUGAUCUCGGAAGAUAAGCAGGGUCAGGCCUGGUUAGCACUUGAAUGGGAGACUGCCUGGGAAUACCAGGUGCUGUAGGCU
RNAcentral lists this ribosomal RNA (119 nucleotides) under Rhinopithecus bieti (black snub-nosed monkey). The record is from RNAcentral. Lineage: Eukaryota; Metazoa; Chordata; Mammalia; Primates; Cercopithecidae.